AUUGAACGCUAGCGGGAUGCUUUACACAUGCAAGUCGAACGGCAGCGCGGACUUCGGUCUGGCGGCGAGUGGCGAACGGGUGAGUAAUGUAUCGGAACGUGCCCAGUAGCGGGGGAUAACUACGCGAAAGCGUAGCUAAUACCGCAUACGCCCUACGGGGGAAAGCAGGGGAUCGUAAGACCUUGCACUAUUGGAGCGGCCGAUAUCGGAUUAGCUAGUUGGUGAGGUAACGGCUCACCAAGGCGACGAACCGUAGCUGGUUUGCGAGGACGACCAGCCACACUGGGACUGAGACACGGCCCAGACUCCUACGGGAGGCAGCAGUGGGGAAUUUUGGACAAUGGGGGCAACCCUGAUCCAGCCAUCCCGCGUGUGCGAUGAAGGCCUUCGGGUUGUAAAGCACUUUUGGCAGGAAAGAAACGUCGCGGGCUAAUACCCCGUGGAACUGACGGUACCUGCAGAAUAAGCACCGGCUAACUACGUG
RNAcentral lists this ribosomal RNA (484 nucleotides) under uncultured bacterium. Its description in RNAcentral is "partial 16S ribosomal RNA". It matches the Rfam family "Bacterial small subunit ribosomal RNA", at positions 30 to 507 of the family's 1533-position model. The record is from RNAcentral.